AUCCUUGCUAUCUGGGUGCUA
Molecule: microRNA, 21 nt
Filed under: Macaca mulatta (Rhesus monkey)
Lineage: Eukaryota; Metazoa; Chordata; Mammalia; Primates; Cercopithecidae
Also listed under: 4 other names
Description: mml-miR-502-5p
Gene: mml-miR-502-5p
Source: miRBase by way of RNAcentral